This 390-nucleotide ribosomal RNA is filed under the name Bacteroidota bacterium. RNAcentral describes it as "bacterial SSU rRNA". It matches the Rfam family "Bacterial small subunit ribosomal RNA", at positions 1 to 391 of the family's 1533-position model. The record is from RNAcentral. Lineage: Bacteria; Pseudomonadati; Bacteroidota.
UACAAUGGAGAGUUUGAUCCUGGCUCAGGAUGAACGCUAGCGGCAGGCUUAACACAUGCAAGUCGAGGGGUAGAAUGUCUUCGGAUGUUUGAGACCGGCGAACGGGUGCGUAACACGUAUGCAACCUACCUUUUACUGGGAGAUAGCCCGGAGAAAUCCGGAUUAAUAUCCCAUAUGCUCGUACGAUCUCCUGAUCGAGCGAGGAAAGCUCCGGCGGUAAAAGAUGGGCAUGCGUCCCAUUAGCUAGUUGGUGAGGUAAUGGCUCACCAAGGCUACGAUGGGUAGGGGGCCUGAGAGGGUGACCCCCCACACUGGUACUGAGACACGGACCAGACUCCUACGGGAGGCAGCAGUGAGGAAUAUUGGGCAAUGGAGGCAACUCUGACCCAG